GAACCUCUGACGGAAGCGAAACAGAAAACCUACCCUUCCCUCCCGGCGAAACUCGCGAAUCGGCUCCAUUAAAACAGCUACACUUAUUUCGGCGGUCACUCUUACAUGGAUACCCCGCGGAAAUGCUAGAGCUAAUACAUGCGCUCCUACCCAACUUAACAGAAGGCGUUCGCGGUUAUUAGUUACAGAACUAGCCCAGGCUUGCCUGGUUACUCCGGUGACUCAUGAUAAUGGAAUUAGUCUAUGGCGUCUGCUGACGAUAAACCUUCAAGCUUCUGACCUAUCAGCUUCCGACGGUAGGGUAUUGGCCUACCGCGGCUUUGACGGGUAACGGAGAAUUAGGGUUGAUUCCGGAGAGGGAGCCUGAGAAAUAGCUACCACAUCUAAGGAAGGCAGCAGGCGCGCACAUUACCCCAUCCCCGACACCGGGAGGUAGCGACAAGAAAUAACAAUACCGGGCAUCCAUGUCUUGCAAUUGGAAUCGAGUACAACUUAAAUCUCUUUGUGAGUACCAAUUGGAGGGCAAGUCUCGUGCCAGCAGCCGCGGCCAUUCCAGCUCCCCUAGCAUAUUCCACA
Molecule: ribosomal RNA, 576 nt
Filed under: Prorocentrum lima
Lineage: Eukaryota; Dinophyceae; Prorocentrales; Prorocentraceae
Description: SSU rRNA
Rfam family: Eukaryotic small subunit ribosomal RNA
Source: RNAcentral